CGCGAAUGGCUCAUUACAACAGCCAUAGUUUAUUGGAUGUUUACGUUCCUACAAGGACACCUGCGGUAAUUCUGGAGCUAAUACUUGCGAAAUGCGACAACCUCACGGGAGUCGUGCAUUUAUUAGAUUAAACCAAUCGGUCCUUCGGGACCGCCAUUUGGUGAACUCUGAAUAACUUAGCUGAUCGCACAGUCUCGUACUGGCGACAAAUCUUUCAAGUGUCUGCCUUAUCAACUUUCGAUGGUAGUUUAUACGACUACCAUGGUUGUAACGGGUAACGGAGAAUAAGGGUUCGACUCCGGAGAGGGAGCCUGAGAAACGGCUACCACAUCCAAGGAAGGCAGCAGGCGCGCAAAUUACCCACUCGCAGAACGCGGAGGUAGUGACGAAAAAUAACGAGGUGGCUCUCUAUGAGGUCCAUCAUCGGAAUGGGUACAAUUUAAAUCCUUUAACGAGGAUCUAUUGGAGGGCAAGUCUGGUGCCAGCAGCCGCGGUAAUUCCAGCU
This 505-nucleotide ribosomal RNA is filed under the name Trichodorus primitivus. RNAcentral describes it as "SSU rRNA". It matches the Rfam family "Eukaryotic small subunit ribosomal RNA", at positions 88 to 590 of the family's 1831-position model. The record is from RNAcentral. Lineage: Eukaryota; Metazoa; Nematoda; Enoplea; Triplonchida; Trichodoridae.